UCCCUAAAUCGUUCAAUCGAUCUUCUUGACUUCUUCUACGUACGCGCAGCAAACCACAAACACAAUAUGUUCAAAUCCCUAAAUCCCUAAAUCGUGAUCUUCUUCUUCUCUUUGAAAUCCCAAAUCCCUAAAUCGUGUUCUUCUUCUUCUCUUUACCCCAAAUCGUGUUCUUCUUCUACUCUUUGAAACCCCAAAUCGUGUUUUUCUUCUUGGAUAUGUUCUUCAUUCUUCGUUCUUCUUGAAACCGGCCAACCUAUUCGUUCUUCCUCAAAUCGUGUUCUCAUUCUUCAUUUUCGUUUUCUGGAAACCGGCCAACCCCAAAUCGUGUUCUCAGGUAUUUAUCUUCGUUCUAAUUUCUCUUUUUAGGGUUUAUGCAAUUGGGGUUUUCGUAUCCCAUUAUGCGAUUGAUUCUUUGAAAUCGAAUAUCUCUUGAUCGAUGGAUAGAGUUUUGUUGCAGGAAAGCAAUGUUGAGGGAGGUAAGCAGAAACAUGUUGAAGAUGAUCUCGUGGAUCUUAAAUCGGGAUAGAAAUGUUUUGAAAGAGGCAAGCGGCUGAAAUCGGAAUGGAAACGUGUUGAAAGAGGUAAGCAGCUGAAAUUGGAACGGAUAUCGGGUGGCAAUUUGUGUUUUGAGACUUUUGUUCAUGUCAUUUGUUUAUAUCAUAAACAUAGUAUAAACAAGUGUAACAAGAGAGUGCAAUGUUGUUGUGAUGUUACUGCGGAGACUGCAAAAUUUGUAUAUUUUGCGGUCUACAAAGUAAUAAGAGAGUGAUGAGUAUCUAUUUUCUGAAAAACUGGUAUAUAGGUUUUGUGAUUUGUGUUAAGGAAUUUUUGUAUAUUGGUUGGAUUUAAUUUGUAAAGAGGGGAAAAAGAAAAUAAAUUAAAACAGAAGCAUAACUGGUAUAUAGCUUUUUCAGUUCUUGUUGGUGAACAUUCUAAAUGCUUACUUGAAAUGAUUAGGAAUUGAAACUGGGGAUUUAUAAAAAAGGGGUGAUUUGUUUCGGCAGAUUUUAACAGAUGAGGCAGUGGC
RNAcentral lists this long non-coding RNA (1027 nucleotides) under Trifolium pratense (red clover). Its description in RNAcentral is "long non-coding RNA (TPRA_LNC002051)". The record is from RNAcentral. Lineage: Eukaryota; Viridiplantae; Streptophyta; Magnoliopsida; Fabales; Fabaceae.